GGAUCACAUGGAUUCCUUGCAAUCCCAGUAAUCCAGCUCAGCACUCUACACAUGGACUCCCUUUUCCUUUCAUAGCUGGAAAUGGAUUCCUCAACAGCGUCCAAAUCUAAUACCAUAACAUCAUUUUCAUCACCAUUGUCAUCUUUCUUGCUCCCAUCCAUUUCCACCAUUGCACUCUUCACCUCUUCCUCAUCACAAACCUUCACACUUGUUAAAUUGGAUUGCAGGUCUUUCUGAAC
RNAcentral lists this unclassified non-coding RNA (239 nucleotides) under Hevea brasiliensis (rubber tree). Lineage: Eukaryota; Viridiplantae; Streptophyta; Magnoliopsida; Malpighiales; Euphorbiaceae. The record is from RNAcentral.